GGACACAAUACCUUUAUUUUAUUUAUCUAUCUUUAUGUGGUGCUGAGCAUUGAAACACAGGACCUCACACAUGCUAGGCAAGCACUAUAUCACUGAGCUACAACCCCAGCCCAAAACACAGGAUAUUACUGGCACAAAAUCAACAAAUGGAGUGAGAAAGAAGGUUUAGAAAUAGCCUUGAAUAUUUCUGCGAAUUUAGUUUAUGAUCAAUGUAAUUGUUUGAAUUAGUGGAGGGGAAAGUGACUAAUAGGUUUCCUUGAAAGAUAACUAAUAUGAGGCCCUAGGCUCAAUCCCUAGUCUCUAAGACUGCAAAAGAAAGGAAGAAAGGGGGAAAAAUGGCAUGCAGAUACCACAUAUGCUAGUCAACAGAUAACCUUGGGUAACCAAGGAUAACAUGGGUCUCACCUACGUUUAGGAAAGAUCCACAGUUCUUAGCCCAGACAACCCACUCCUUUUCUGACACUCCAGGUACUCCAUAUCCUAGUCCAAGCUCCCUGAGGACACACACUAAGAAUUAUUUUAACAGCUUCAUUUAGAUGUAAUUCACGUACAAUAAAAAUUUACCCAUCUAAAGCAUACAGCUGUUUUUCACUUUAUUCACAGUGUCAGGCAGCCAUUACAAUCUAAUUCUAGCAUACUUUUAUCCUCCUAAAAGAAACUAUACCCACUAUUGCUUAUUCCUUAUUCCUCCCUGCCACAAUACCACAAGCCCCAAUCAAUCAUUGAUCCACCUUCUUUCUAUGCAUUUGCCUAUUCUGGACAUUUCAAGUAAAUGUGGUCUUUUGUGACUGACUUCUUUCACUUAGCCUUAUGGUUUCAAGGUCUACUCAUUUUGUAGUUUUAUCACUACCUUAUUAUUUUUGUCAAAUAAUGUUCCAUUGUAUGAAUAUAUAUAUUAUUUAUCCAUUCAUUAGUUGAUGGAUUUGGGGGUUAUUUCCAUUUUGGGCCAUUGUGAGUAAUGCAGCUAUAAACAUUUCACAUACAGAUUUUUGUGCAGAUGUGUUUUCAGUUCUCUAGUAUAUAUAUUAGGAAUUGCUGGGUCAUAUGGUAACUCUAUGUUUAACUAUCUGAAGAAAUGUCAGGCUGUUUUCCAAACUGGUUUACAUUCCCAUUAGCAAGGUUUGAGUGUUCUAAUUUCUCUACAUUUUCACUAACACUUGAUCUUUUUUUUUUUAAGAGAGAGAAUUUUUUUUUUUUUAAAGAGAGAAUUUUUUUUUAAUAUUUAUUUUUUAGUUAUCGGCGGGCACAACAUUUUUUUUUUUUUUUUUUUUGUAUGUGGUGCUGAGGAUCGAACCCGGGCCGCACACAUGCCAGGCGAGCGCGCUACCGCUUGAGCCACAUCCCCAGCCCGAGAGAGAAUUUUUUUAAUAUUUAUUUAUUUUUUUUUAGUUUUCAGUGGACACAACAUCUUUUUUACUUUUUUUUUAAUGUGGUGCUGAGGAUCGAACCCAGUGCCCUGUGCAUGCCAGGCGAGUGUGUUACCGCUUGAGCCACAUCCCCAGCCCAAUACUUGUUCUUGUCUGUCUUUUUUAUUAUAGUUAUUCUACUGUGUGAGAAUAUCAUGAUUUUGAUUUGUGUUUCUCUGAUUGCAUGUGAUGUUGAGCUUAUAUAUUUAUUGGUCAUUUAGAUAAAUGUCUAGUCUAGCCUAUUUUUUUUCUUAUUUUUUUUAGUUAUAGAUGGACACAAUAUCUUUAUUUUUGUUUUUGUUUAUUUUUAUGUGGCGCUGAGGAUGGAACCCAGUGCUUCACAUGUGUGAGGCAAGUGCUCUGCCACUGAGCCACAAUCCCAGACCAAGUCUAGCCUAUUUUUAAAUUGGGGGUUUUUGUCUUUUUAUUGGUAAGAGGUAAGAGUUCUUUCUGUGUUCUAAGUACAGUUUAUGAUUUGUAAAAUGUUUUCCCAUUGUAUGAGUUGUUUUCACUUUUAUGCAUGCAUAUGCGUGUGUGUAUGCGUGUGUGUGUGUGUGUGUGUGUGUGUUAUGUGUGUGAACUGAACCCAGGGACACGCUACCACUGAGCUGCAUCCCCAGCCCCCUUUUUAAGUCAGGGUUGAGUUGCUGAAGCUGACCUUGAACUUGAGAUCCUCCUGCAUUACCUCCUGAGUUGCUGGUAUUACAGGCAUACACCACCAUGCCUGGCUGAGUAUUGCCAUCUUAAGAAUAUUAAAUCUUCUCACCCAUGAGAUGUUUUUUUCAUUUAGUCAGAUUUUUUUUUUUUUUUUUUUUUUGGUACCAGGGGCACUUAACCACUGGGCCACAUCCCCAGCCCAUUUUUGAAUUUUAUUUAGAGACAGGGUCUCACUGCUGGCUUUGAACUCUCAAUCCUCCUGCCUCAGCCUCCCAAGUCACUGGGAUUACAGGUAUGCACCACUGUACCCUACUAGUUAGAUCUUUAAUUUCUUCUUAUUUUUACCUUUUAAUGUAGUGCUGAGGUUAGAACCCAGUGCCUCACAUGAGCGAGGCAAGCGCUCUGCCACUGAGCCACAACCCCAGCCCAGAUCUUUAAUUUUUUUCAAUAGUAUUUUAUAGUUUUCAGUAUAUAAAUUGUAUACUCCUUUUGCUAAUUUUAUAUCAAAGUGUUAUAUUUCUUUUGUUGAUAUUACAAACUGUGUAUUUCAUUUUUGGAUUGUUUAUUGCUAGUGAUGAGAAAUACAAUAUAUUUUUGUAUACUAUUCUUGUGUUCUAUAGCCUUGCUGAACUUGUUUAUUAGCACUAAUGGUUUUGUUUUUUUGUUUUUUAUUUUUUGUUUUUUUUUGUGUGUGUGUGUAUGUCCCUGAGAACUUUCUGUAUACAAGAUCAUGUUAUCUGUAAAUGGAUCUUCCUUUUCAAUCUGGAUGCCUUUUAUUUCUUUUUCUUGUCUAAUUUUCCAAACUAAAACUUUCAUAUGUGUUAAAUAGAAGUGGUGGGAGUAGAUGUCCUUGUUUUGUUCCUGAUCUCAGGAGGAAAGCACCCAAUCUUUCACAAUUAAUUAUGAUAUUUGCUGUGAAUUAUUCAUAGAUGCCUUUUGAUAAUUAGCACAUCGAAGAAGUUUCCUUUUACUUCUGUUAAGCUUUUUUUUUUAAUUAUGAAAGCAUUGAAUUUUAUCAAAUGUAUUUUCUGUGUCUAUUGAGAUCAUGUUUUUGUUUUUGUUUUUGUGGUAAACUGGGAUCAAACCCAGGGCUUUGCUCAUGAUAGGCAAGUGAGCUACAAUCCCCAACCUGUUUUUUCUUUAUUUUACUAAUAGCCUGUAUUAAAUUAAUUCACUGUUUGAUGUUAAACCUACUUUAUAUUCCUAGGAUAAAUCCCACUUGGUCAUGCUGUAUAAUCCUUUUGUCUGUAUUGCUGGAUUGGUUUGCUAGUAUUUUGUUGAUGAUUUUGUGUCUGUAUUCUUAAGAAUAUUGAUCUGUAGUUUUCUUGUGAUGUCUUUGUCCAGUUUUGUUAUUUGGGUAAUGCCUAGACAGUCUGACUUCUGUCCCUCACUAUUCUGCCCCAACUUCCUUUAACCCCCAACCCCCAUGUCUUACCAGGCUUUCCCGGGUGGUGAAUACAUCUGCUACUGGGACAAUCACUGACAUGAAUUCAGUCUGUACUUUGGACUGUGGUCAUCAUCCCCUCUCCAUCCAAACGGCUAGAUAAAUCAGGGCUUGCCUAAGGCCUUGGGUUUAAUACCCAGCUCCCCGCAAAAAAGCUAGGUGCAAUGGCCCCCAUCUAUAAUCACAGCUAUGCAGGAGGCUGAGGUAUGAGGACCACAGUUCGAGGCCAGCCUCAGAAACUUAGACCCUAUUUCAAAAGAAAUAGGGGUAUGUAACUCAGCAGUAGAUGCCCUGGGGUUCAAUCCCCAGUACUGGGAGGAAAAGAAGAAAGAUAGAAAAGAUAGAGAAAAGAAAGAAAAAAAUGGGACUCCUCACAGGAGAAUGCUCUGGGAUUAGGGCUGAGGAAGAGGUAGGGAAGGCAGCAGGCUCCGCAGGCAGGACAAUUAUCCUGGAUUCAGAGAUUUGGAGACCAGUUGUGGUCUAUUGACACACAGCCCACUCAACAACUCCCUCCCCUAGAGACUGCUUUCCGGCAGUCUUGGCCCCAGCUCUAACCUCAUUUUCCAUCUACUCCUUCCAUCUCAUCCAGCCAUCACAGGCUUCUGUUGAUUUCUUUGUUUCUUCCCAGCCUUGGGACCUUUGCACUCACCAUUCCCUGGGGAUGGAACCCACUGCCCUACAUUUGUUCAUGAUGUUCUUCCCUCUCAAGCUUUAGUUCAAAUGUCACUGUAUUAGGUUUCCAUUACUGCAUAAUAAAUCACUACGAAUUUAGCAGCUUAAAACAAUACCCAUUUAUUAUCUCAGUUCUGUAGGCCAUAAGUCCAGGCAAACUCUGCUGUGUACUCUAUUUAGGUCUCACAAGGCUAAGUCAAGGGUGUCAGCCAGCCUGGGAUUUUAUCUGGAGGUUCUGGUGUAGAAUUCACUUCCAGGCUCAUCCAAGUUAUUAAACGAACUCAGUAACAAGCUGGGCCCAGCAGCACAUGCCUGUAAUCCCAGAGACUGAGGCAGGAGGAUCACAAGCUGGAGGCCAAGCCUCAGCAAUGCAGUAAGACCCUCAGUAACUGCAAGAGACCCUGUCUCAAACAAUGAAGAGCUGCAGGUACAAAUUAGUGCUAAAGUAUGCCCUGGGUUCAGCCCUCAAUACAAAAAGGGAAUUCAGUUCCAUAAAGCUAUAGAAUUAAGGUUUCUGUUUCUUUGUCAGCCAUAGGUUGUUUUCAGCAUUCAGAAGAUGUCUACAUUCCUCCAUCUUGGUAGCCAUCAAAGGCACAUCAAGUUUUUCUCCUGCUUCAAAUUCCUGACUUUUCUGCCUUCCUCUCUGUUGUUAGUUGGAGACACUUCCCUACUUUUAAGAGCUCAUGUGAUACAUCAGGCCCACCUGAAUGAUAAUCUCCCUGUUUUAACCUAAGUUAACCUGAAUUAGUAACCUCAAUUACAUCUGUAAAGUCACUUUUGCCAUAUGAGGUAAUAUUUGGGAUUAGAGCAUGGAAUAUUCAGGACCAUUAAUUUAUGUAUCAUAUUUUAUCCUCUAGCCCUCUAAGAUUCAUGUCUGUCCCAUAUGCAAAAUACAUUCCUAUCAAAGUCUCAACCUGUUACAACAUCAAGUCAGAGUCCAAAAAAUCUCUUAGCAAACAUCCCAAAUCUUAUAUAGAUCAGAUACAGAUAAGGGUCUGGGUACCUGUGAAAUUAGGGAAACAAGUCCUGAGUGGUGUGGUGGCAAAUACCUGUAAUCCCAGCUAUUUAGGAGGCUGAGGCAGGAGGACUGCAAGUUUGAGGCCAGCCCUGAGCAACUUAGCUAGAUUCUGUCUCAAAAUUUAAAACAAAACAAAACAAAACAAAAGUUGGUAGAGUACUUGCCUAGCAUGUGUAAAGACUUAGGUUCAAUCCCUAAUACUGCAAGAAAAGAAACAAAUCCUGUGCUUCUGAUGGACAAUAGUGGGAUAGGCACAGGAUAAUGGUUAAGAAAGACUGGCUCAAAAGAGGAGACAGAAAGUCAGGAGUUACUAAUCCAAAGCAAUUUAAAAAUCCACAUGGGAAAUUUUCUACAGGUUUCCAGGACCAGGAAAAAAAAAAAUCCUAAUGGGUUUCUGCCCUUUACGCUCUCAGUUUCACCCUUUGGAUUAGUCCCCUUUCCUAAGAACCAUUCAUGAGUACCUGCUAGAACAGCUGUAUCCAAUUUUUUGUCAUAUCACAAUGUUAUGUUAAUUUUUGUUUUCCAUCACAUUCCAUAAUGCCUAGAACAUAGGUCUUGCUCAAAAAAUAUUAUGAAUAAAUGAAUGAGUAAAUGUGGUAUGGAGGGUUGAAUAACAGUCCCCCAAAUAUGUACAUGUCCCAAUUCCUGGAAUCUGUGAAUGUUAACUUCUAUGGCAAAAGGGACUUUGAAAGUGUAAUUGAGCAGCUUAAGAUGGGAAGAAUGUCUUGGAUUAUCUGUAUGGGCCCUAUGCAAUUACAAGGAUCCUCCUAAGAGGGACACAGAAGUUAAGAGAAGAUGGUGUGAAACUGAAUAGAUAGAUGUGCUCUCCAAUGAAGGAGUGGGCCACCAGCUAAGGAAUACAGGAAACUACUAAAAGCUGAAAAAAGCAAAGGACUGGAUUCUCCAUUGGAGCCACCAGUAGGAAGCAAUUCUGCUGACACUUUGAGCACAGUGAAACUGAUUUUGGACUUCGGACCUCCAGAACUAUAAAAGAAUAAAUGUAUGUUGUUUUAAGUAAUUAAGUUCAUGAUAAUUUGACAUAUCAGUAAUAGAAAAAUAAUACAGUUGGAGUAACACAGUGUUGGCUAUAGCUGCUAGUGGUCCCCAAUAUCUCUCCCCACCUUUUGGAGUAAGAGAACUUUAAUUUGGCAAAAAGCUGCUCAGGGUAUAAAGAUUAUAUUUCUCAGCAAUUCUUUCAUCUGGGUGUGGCCUUGUGACUUACAUUCUAUCCACUGAAUCAGAGCAGAAAUGAUCUGUACAACUUGAGUCAUGCAAUUUAGGGGAAACUGCAAGCCAUCCUCUUCAAGUUCCUGCCUUCAUAAGGGCGGGACUGUGGAAAUGGGUGGACCAUCUUGGGUCCAAGAAGGGAUGAAAACAAGAUAAAAUGAACCCUAGGUCUUGAUGACUUUAUGGAAAGACCCACCAUACUACUAACUUGGACUUUAAAAAAAUUUUUUUUUUAGUUGUAGGUGUAUUUUUAUUUAUUUAUUUUUAUGUGGUGCUGAGGAUCAAACCCAGUGCCACACCCAUGUUAGGCAAGCACUCUACCACUGAGUCACAACCCUAGCCCCUAAUUUGGACUAUUAUAUGAGGGAAAUUUCUAACUUAAGGCACAGUUAUUCUGGGUCUCUAUUUCAUGAAGCUGUCUCCAUACUAUGCAAACGAAUGUAGGAUUCCCAGUUACUAUCCAUUAUGUUGACAUUGUUUUGAAGGGUGGAUAGCUGUGGAAUUAAGGCAAGUUUAGGCUUUACUUUUCUUUUUUUCCUUCUUGCAGCUCUUCUGCAAGGGUGCCACCAUGGUCUUAGGAUAUAUGUGAGGUUGAUGUAAUGCUAGAAGAUCUAGGCCCACCCUAUAUUUGACCUCUCCACUAGGAUAGGUCCAUACUACUUCCUCCAAGUAGUAUGGUGGGUCUUUCCAUAAAGUCAUCAAGACCUAGGGUUCAUUUUAUCUUGUUUUCAUCCCUUCCUCCAAGGUUAUUUUUCUCAUCCACAUGAGCGGCUGCCACUAGUUACAAAGAGCCAGUAAGAAUCAAGAAGCUUCGUUGGAUAGGACCUGAACAGGGGGAAAAGGCUCAGACAUCAUAAUAUCACUGAAGUUCAUUAUGGUAUGCAAAUUAUCAUAGUGAUGGAAAAGGAGAACCAAGUAGAGGAGGCUUUAAAGUUUGUAGGGAACUUUUAUCAAUCAGCCAGGAUCAAGUUUGCUUCAGUAACAACAAUCCAAGUAUCUCAGUGGCUCACAACAACAAAUACAUAUUUCUGACAGAGUAUAACUCGGUGUCUUCCACAGGACAGCUACCCUUCUGUACCAUUGUGUGUAUGUGUGUGUUUUGCUGGGAAUUGAACCCACAGCCUUGCACAUGCUAGUUAAGUGCUCUACCACUGAGCUACUUUCUCCUAAGUCUAUGCCAUCUUUAUUCCAGAAUCCAAUCUUAAGGAACAACUCAAUCUGGAACUUUCAAUCUCAACAGAGAAAAAUGAGGAAAGGUGGCAGACUCUCUGAUGGCUCUUUUUCUUAAAUAUAUUUUUUGGAUGUAUGGACCUUUAUUUUAUUAAUUUAUUUAUAUGUGAUGCUAAGAAUCAAACCCAGUGCCUCACACAUGCUAGGCAAGCACUCUACCACUGAGCCACAGCCUCAACCCUGUGAUGACUCUUUUUUUUUAAGCAUUUUUAAAAAUUUAUUUUUUUAGUAAUACUUGGACACAAUACCUUUACUUUAUUUAUUUAUAUGUGGUGCUGAGGAUCGAACCCAGGGCCUCACAUGUGCUAGGUGAGCACUAUACUACUGAGCCACAACCCCAGUCCCCCCACCCCCACGAUGACUCUUUUUUUAAAAAAUUUAUUAUCAUUAUUUUGGUAUCAGGAAUUGAACCCAGGGGCACUUAAUCACUAAGCCACAUCCCUAGUCCAUUUUUUAUUCUGAGACAGAGUCUUGCUAAGUUACCUAGGGCUUCACUAAGUUGCUGAGACUGUCUUUGAACCUGGAUGCUCUUGCCUCAGCCUUCCCAGCUGCUGGGAUUACAGGUGUGCAACACCAUGCCUGGCCUGUGAUGGCUUUUUUUUUUUUUCCGGUAUAUGUCAUUUCCACUCAAGUUCCAUUGGCUAAAGCAUGCCAUAUAUCCAAACGUGACAUUAGUGGAGUAGGAAUAAUCUUUCCAUGUGAUUGAGCCCCAUAGAAAGUGUCAGUGAAUGUUUUUGAGCAAUUAUAAAAUCUUCCUCUUCAUCAUAAUUAUUGCCUUUGUCUUGUUUUCCACAUACAAAACAAAUGCAUCCCCUUCCCAAGAAAGACAACUCAAAUGACCCAUCUAAUCAUGACAGAUCUUUACAAAUCUCUAUAUCAUCUCCAGAUGUGGCUUCCCUUGAUCCAGAGACGAGAGAGAGAGAGAGAGAGAGAGAGAGAGAGAGAGAGAGAGAGAGAGAGAGACAUCUGUGUCCCUGCCUCGCAACACACACACAUACCCCCAACAUAUAAAGUAGAACAAGGGGUUUAGGGAUAUAAUUUAGUGGUAGAAUGCUUGCCUGACAUGUGCAAGGUCUGGAGUUCAAUCCCCAGUACCAAAAAAGGAAAAUAGUAGAAUAAGGACAGGAAAACAACAGUACAUGCUCCCAUUCACAGGGACAAAUGGGAGACAGUUACUGGUCCAUAAUAAAUCUAAAAUUCAGCAGGGUAGAUAUUGAGAAUGACCCCCAUCUUUCCCUGGAACUGCUUCCUGGGAAUAGUUUCUUGAUUCAUUCUUCAUGUUCGGUCCUUGGAGUGGACAAUCCUCUUCCAUUUAUUCUCCUUGACCACAUUUGAGAGGACAUUGGAUUUAUUUCUUACUUUGAGUUAGAAUCUAAGUUGCCACACUAGCCUCCAACUUGCAAUCUUUCUGCCUCCACCUCACAACUCACUGGGAUUAUAGGCAUGUGCCACUUUACCCAGCUUUAGGAACCACUUUAAUCAGUUCAGAGGUUUUUACAAAAGACAUAACACACUUAAUGUGGCCCUUGUCACAAAAAUGAGUUUUCAUCAAAUUUUGUCAUCCUCAGUUUUAUUUUAUUUUUUU
This 9239-nucleotide long non-coding RNA is filed under the name Marmota monax (woodchuck). Lineage: Eukaryota; Metazoa; Chordata; Mammalia; Rodentia; Sciuridae. The record is from RNAcentral.